Molecule: ribosomal RNA, 1372 nt
Filed under: uncultured bacterium
Lineage: Bacteria
Description: bacterial SSU rRNA
Rfam family: Bacterial small subunit ribosomal RNA
Source: RNAcentral
GAUGAACGCUGGCGGCGUGCCUAAUACAUGCAAGUCGAGCGAACGGACGAGAAGCUUGCUUCUCUGAUGUUAGCGGCGGACGGGUGAGUAACACGUGGAUAACCUACCUAUAAGACUGGGAUAACUUCGGGAAACCGGAGCUAAUACCGGAUAAUAUUUUGAACCGCAUGGUUCAAAAGUGAAAGACGGUCUUGCUGUCACUUAUAGAUGGAUCCGCGCUGCAUUAGCUAGUUGGUAAGGUAACGGCUUACCAAGGCACCGAUGCAUAGCCGACCUGAGAGGGUGAUCGGCCACACUGGAACUGAGACACGGUCCAGACUCCUACGGGAGGCAGCAGUAGGGAAUCUUCCGCAAUGGGCGAAAGCCUGACGGAGCAACGCCGCGUGAGUGAUGAAGGUCUUCGGAUCGUAAAACUCUGUUAUUAGGGAAGAACAUAUGUGUAAGUAACUGUGCACAUCUUGACGGUACCUAAUCAGAAAGCCACGGCUAACUACGUGCCAGCAGCCGCGGUAAUACGUAGGUGGCAAGCGUUAUCCGGAAUUAUUGGGCGUAAAGCGCGCGUAGGCGGUUUUUUAAGUCUGAUGUGAAAGCCCACGGCUCAACCGUGGAGGGUCAUUGGAAACUGGAAAACUUGAGUGCAGAAGAGGAAAGUGGAAUUCCAUGUGUAGCGGUGAAAUGCGCAGAGAUAUGGAGGAACACCAGUGGCGAAGGCGACUUUCUGGUCUGUAACUGACGCUGAUGUGCGAAAGCGUGGGGAUCAAACAGGAUUAGAUACCCUGGUAGUCCACGCCGUAAACGAUGAGUGCUAAGUGUUAGGGGGUUUCCGCCCCUUAGUGCUGCAGCUAACGCAUUAAGCACUCCGCCUGGGGAGUACGACCGCAAGGUUGAAACUCAAAGGAAUUGACGGGGACCCGCACAAGCGGUGGAGCAUGUGGUUUAAUUCGAAGCAACGCGAAGAACCUUACCAAAUCUUGACAUCCUUUGACAACUCUAGAGAUAGAGCUUUCCCCUUCGGGGGACAAAGUGACAGGUGGUGCAUGGUUGUCGUCAGCUCGUGUCGUGAGAUGUUGGGUUAAGUCCCGCAACGAGCGCAACCCUUAAGCUUAGUUGCCAUCAUUAAGUUGGGCACUCUAAGUUGACUGCCGGUGACAAACCGGAGGAAGGUGGGGAUGACGUCAAAUCAUCAUGCCCCUUAUGAUUUGGGCUACACACGUGCUACAAUGGACAAUACAAAGGGCAGCGAAACCGCGAGGUCAAGCAAAUCCCAUAAAGUUGUUCUCAGUUCGGAUUGUAGUCUGCAACUCGACUACAUGAAGCUGGAAUCGCUAGUAAUCGUAGAUCAGCAUGCUACGGUGAAUACGUUCCCGGGUCU